AAGGAAACCGGAACGUUCUUUUACAGGGGAGAAGAAGCCGGGAGGGGUGUUAAACAGAAGUUCCGGUACUGGACCGGAGGCUUCCCGGCGCGGCGGCUGCUCAUUGGCUGCCGCUCCGGAAGUUGCUCACUGUUGCCAGGUGGAGAGGAAGUCUCCCUUGCUGCCGCUGCGGCCGCACGGUGCAGCCAGGGGCCCUGCAUGCGCGCUUUCCCUGCGUGGCUUCCCGACGUCGCUUUGCAUGAGGUUUCCUUUAUUCACUUUCUCAGAUAGAAGGUGGAAUGAAGACUUCGCCUGCGUGAUCGAGGGAAACUCUGGUUGGUCUGUUGCCCGGGCCAGCCACCCGUGCCGGGGUCUGGAGGGCCUCCUUCUGUUGCGAGGGGAAGAUACAAGGCAAAUAAUGUUGAAAGCACCUGUAAAUCCAUCCAGGCUAAUAACGUAUUAACUGGUAGGAGCUGAGAGGUUUACACAACCUCUGAAGCACGAGACUAAAGACGCAAUUGAAAUAGCAUAAGGCAGGGAAGUGCUAUUCAAGUCAGGAGAAGUGUUCCGAAUCUCCACCACGGGAUUUUGUAGGAGGAACAAGCCCCUUCUUCUGCGGUUCAUCAGGAUAAUCUAACGCCAGGGGAAACCUGCAAGAAGGGGAAAACAGCAAGGAAGCAAGGGAAACAUCGACUGUACUUUGGAUUCAUGAGCCUUGAUAUUCUUGAUGCCACCUCAGGAGCCAGGAUACCACUCAGCAACAUACAGUGUAAACAGUACGUAAAAAAUCGGUCUCGGCGCCCAGCGCUCACUGUGGCAUCUCGCUGACUCUCAAGGAUUUGUGUUUCUUCCGGCUGAAAAGAGCCUGAACUUUGUUGUUUUAUUGACCUCAACAAAUGGCCAGCAAAUUCCCUAGCAGGACGGGUUCAUUCGGGAACAACAAAGAAUUGCAGUUUUCACACCCAGGAAAGCAAAAGAGGGCGACGCUCUUUUAUAGACGGGGGCCGGGCGCUUGUAAACCAAGAGUCCAUUGGAGGAGCCUGAAGACCGGAAGUAUAGUGGCUUCCCAUUGGCUGAGUUGUGGCAGUCUCCCAUUGGCUGAGCUGUUACCGAGCAACGAGGAAUCUGUGCUUCCUGCAUCCCUUCCAGUUAGAGGCUCAAGGUCUGGCUGUUGCUCUUGGGGACAAUCUGCAGUAUGACAGCCGGGCUCCGCUCAUCUCUCCGAACAGUGAGAAGACAAGUCAGGCAAGAGUCAGGCGAAGGCAGCAAAGCCAAAAAACUACAAUGGAUAGUGACUGUUACGGAGACAGUG
Miniopterus natalensis is the source of this 1291-nucleotide non-coding RNA. Lineage: Eukaryota; Metazoa; Chordata; Mammalia; Chiroptera; Miniopteridae. The record is from RefSeq and is a predicted model, not a curated record.